GCAGGAUAGCUCAUUUGGUAGAGCAUGAGACUCUUGAUCUCAGGGUGGUGGGUUUGGGCAAAAUAAUCCUGCAUUGCA
Molecule: non-coding RNA, 78 nt
Organism: Podarcis lilfordi (Lilford's wall lizard)
Lineage: Eukaryota; Metazoa; Chordata; Lepidosauria; Squamata; Lacertidae
Source: the annotation of a GenBank genome assembly